Arachis ipaensis is the source of this 2589-nucleotide non-coding RNA. Lineage: Eukaryota; Viridiplantae; Streptophyta; Magnoliopsida; Fabales; Fabaceae. The record is from RefSeq and is a predicted model, not a curated record.
AAAAACCCUAACCCGAAAACCCAUUACUGCUGAAAUUAAUGCACGCUGCCAUCAAACCCAAAAACAAAGAUCUGUGCUCUGCUCUAGCGACGGCUCCAGCGACGAUCUUCUCAGUGGCAUUAUCCUCCGACGAGAUUGUGUGCUCUCUCCAGCGACGAUAUCUUCUGGCAGGUUUUUUUCCGGCGAUGCGUUCUCCUCCGGCUACAAUUUCUGUGUGAGAGCAAGGUUGAUCUUCUUUCUCUCUCUCAAUUUUCUACUAUUGUCGAAAAUACCUGAAAGCUUGAAAUGGAAAAUCAAGUUGCAAAAACUUCACAAAACUAUGAUAUCUAUUGCGUAAGUGUUUCCUCAAACUAUCUUCUUCGGCGGCGAUCUUCUCCAUCAACGCUUCUCUUCCAUUGAUGAGAUCUGUUGUGCAAGUAUUUCCUGCAGCAUCGAGUUGUGUUCUGCGACUUCUCCAUCUCCAUCUCCAUCGAGCUUCAUUGAUCAUCUAGGUUUUCGAUUUUCUUCCUUGUCAGAAGAAAUUGAAGUUUUUGUUAUAAUAUCAAGUACGUGAAGCAGCUAUAAGAGCAAGUGAAGGUUCUAGAAACUGAAAGCAAAAGGAAAAGCGUGGAGUCUGUUGUGUAUGUUGAGAAAUCUGAGGUGUGCGGAGAGGAAGAUGUGUCAAACACUUGGUCAAAUUCAAGGGAUGAAAACUUGUACGAAGUCUCAAAAGCACUGAGUAGGUUGGUGUUGCCUGAAGUGGAGGCAAGUGUGAUUGAGAAGAACGUCCUCAUUCGGAUCCACUGCGAGAAACACAUAGGAGUGUUGAUGCACAUUCUCAAGCUCAUUGACAAACUCCAUCUCUCUGUUCUUAGCACCACUUCCUUGCCUUUUGGACCCUCCAUCGUAUCGAUAUAACCAUCACUGCCGAGCUUCUGUUUCAGAAUUUGUGAAAGCUGAGUUGUUACAAUGAAUUAGAUCAUUUCUUUUAUCAACUGCUAUAUGAUCAUGAAAGCAUUAUAUCAGUGUGUGCAUUCUCUGAAUGGUUACAUCAUGCUUGAAAAAGAGAAAAGAGAAAAUAAGGGGUGGGUUUUCCGAGUUCUGUCCAGGCAUGUAAACUUCAGGCGGGGAGCUUCUUGACAGAAUUUUGUCAAGGGGAGGAAAGUAUCUGGAGGAGGAUGCCAAAGCUAUAGUUUUGCAGAUUCUAAGCGUAGCUGCUUUUUGUCAUGGUUGUUGUAACCAUUUGGUAUCGUGCUCCUGAGUUGCUUCUUGGAGCAAAACAUUAUACUAGUGUUGUUGGUAUCCUUUUAUUUUACUUCCUUUUUAUGCAUAAGUUAAUCAUGUGUAGGUGUAUGUUUUUAUAUUCUAUGCUUUUGCAAUAUUUUAUAUUCAAGUGACUAUACAUUUGUACUCAUGUAUCUAUUGUUGACUUCAGGCUUAUACUUUCUUUACAGCUUAAUUCUUAUGGUAUUUCUCGUUAAUAUUAAUUUCGUUACAUUCUUGGUACUUUUUGCUAUCUCUAUUUUGACUUGAGGUUGUUGCUUUUUAUUAAAUCUCAGAUGCUAAAGUAUGGGUCUAGGGUCUACAAGAAUGGUUGACAUGUCAUAAAUAAGUUAUUUGAAAAUUUUUCAUUUGGGAUGCUGUGGAAUAUACAUAAUCCAAGGAUAUGCUCAUGAAAUUAAUGGGUUUGUCUUCAUUUUUGCUCACAGUGAUAACAACAGUCUCUAUAAUGUGGUUCACAUAUCUCUAAAAAGUUCUGCAUUUGACCUUUUGUCAAAGAUGCUUGAAUAUAUAUGAUCCUCGAAAGCGUAUUACAGUAGCACAAGCUUUGGAACAUGAAUUACAUGCGUGAUUUGUUCUCCAUGUCCACAAUAUACAGGAUGGCCACCAAGAGGGAAAGGAAAAGCUUCUAAAUGGGGGCAACAAACAAGUCAUCCGCACAACCUUUUGAAGAAGCUCAACAAGUUGUAGCAACCUGUCCACCUUGCUCUUCUUUACAUGCACCGAGGACGGUGCAAAUUUUUAAGGGUGGGGAGGUCGUCCGACCGAUCUCCAUGGGUAACUGGUGCACGAAAUUGUAAGGGAAACAAAACAAAAUUCAAGCUAGUGAUGGAUGACAAGCACAAUAUGCAGGCUAGCAUUCUUAGCAAACAUCUCUACUUGCACUUAAUUGAAUACUUCAGCAAGACAUAUAGGAAUUUCCAAAUUAAAAUACUUCAAAGCAACAAGGAUUAAGUGUCAAUACAACCUGUUGGGAAUGUCUCUCAGCUUUUUCUUCUGUCAUUAUUAUUUCUCUUUAUUGUACUUUCUUUGGACAAUGAUGCAGACUCCCUCCACAGGUUGAAUGUUUUCCUGCAUAAUCCUCAAAAGUUGCUUGUUUCUCAAGCCCUUAAGCAAAUGGUUAGCUAACAUGACUUAUUUGUGGGCAUUUUGAACUUACUUUGGUGUGUGAACACCAAACUUAGUCUCUUGCCAAUGUUUCUUAUGUAUCAAGUUAACCAUAUGUGAAACCCUUCUGUCUUUGCUAAAGGUAAUAUAACUAAAAACUAGAAAACAGACAAUGGUUAAGUAGUUUCUCUGAUUGCUUGGAGCUAGCAACCCUUUAUGCAG